RNAcentral lists this long non-coding RNA (234 nucleotides) under Malus domestica (apple). Its description in RNAcentral is "long non-coding RNA (MDOM_LNC001499)". The record is from RNAcentral. Lineage: Eukaryota; Viridiplantae; Streptophyta; Magnoliopsida; Rosales; Rosaceae.
CUACUAGGCUUUGAAUUUCAUGGUCAUGUUUUGUUUUUUGAGUACAUACAAGCAUGAUUCCGCCUUUUAAUUGUUAAUUGCAUGCUAUAUGAUGUUGCUCAAAUGAACAUGUUUUUCAAAAUAAUUCCUUCAAGUGGUAUCAGAGCCUAGGUCUAGUAGUUGGUGAAUCCUUUUGGGUUUUGUAGUUCAUAGUAUGUGAUCUAAAAGUUGUAAUUGUUACAAGCUUUAUUCUUG